CUGUAUUUAACUGUCAUACACCAUUCAUUAAUUACCUAUUAAUUAAUCCCCACUUAAAUGUAGCGUCAAGAAUAUUAAACCACUGCCAGAAACCAACACAGUGCCUUCAGAAAGUAAUCAGCCGAGUCCUUGUACUCAGUUACGGCCAAAGUCUGCGACGACUUUUGGCCAACAAUAAAAGGCAGUCGAGUGGAGUCUGAAUGACAUUGUUCCUUUCAUUCUGCUGCCAAUUUCGCCCUUUCUUCCAGAAGGUCCUUACAAAUUAGCUGUGCGAGUGCCUUGCACUUAGUUUUUGUCUGUGUACUUUUCAAAAUUGGCUUUCACACGCCAUUUGCAUUUAAUUGCCGAGCUGCUAGGGAGCUGAAAGGAGAAUUGCAGUUCCAGUCCGGCAGUCCCCGGGGAAACCCAUUCGAUAAGUGCCAAUUUGGCCAUAAUGGGCAUUAAAGUUUCAGGCAAUUUGAGGAGUGUGGCUUUAAGGCCAGCUGAAGACACUUAAACCGCCAUCUAUCCUCAUCAUCAUCAUCUUGACGGUAUUUAUUGUCAAUAAAGCCUUGGCAAACAACAAAUGCGACACAGAAAAUAUUAUUGAAUUGGAAAGUCACCAUAUUCCCAUUCCGCCGUCCGUAUUUCGAUCCCACUUCAAUUGAAAAUUGUCUGCGUGGCAAAAGUGAAAUGCUUCGGCGAGAGUCUUCAAUUCACAGAAUCGAAUCGAAUCGAAUCGAAACGAAACGCAACGAAUCGACGUCUCCUCUGGUGAUUUUGCUUCCUCCAUCGAAACCCGCUCCCCAGAUUCCCAAACUCGAUGCCGUGAUGCCAUUGAUGUUUUGCUGCGCACUCGAGUGUGUUUUCUUUAGUAAUGGAAUUUAUUAAUAUUUCAUUGUGUGGGCCCGUGAAAGUCAUUGGGGGAGGGGGAGUUGGGCGGAGGAGGGCCACAACGAGGGCGCCUGGGAUUGGGUUCCCAUCGAGUUUGCGGCUGACUUUAAGGAAUGUCAACAAUUGCCAGCACUUUGAAUGCUUCAGACAUCCAUCCCGCAGGCUCUUCACAUCUAUCGAAAUGUUCUCAAAAAGCGAAAAUGUUCACUCCUUCGGUUAAGUACUUUUUGAGGUUUCCAUUAUGAAUCGCUAUUGUAGGCCUACACAGCGGAAACAAAUUAACUAAAUUGAGCAUUGAUUUUGUGCAUAGCAAGUUAAAUGAACUCCUUGAUGGCAUGCUAAAAAGUACUUUACAUAAAUUUAACUUAUAUAGUAA
Molecule: long non-coding RNA, 1249 nt
Organism: Drosophila ficusphila
Lineage: Eukaryota; Metazoa; Arthropoda; Insecta; Diptera; Drosophilidae
Exons: 3
Source: RefSeq, a predicted model, not a curated record